AUUGAACGCUGGCGGCAGGCCUAACACAUGCAAGUCGAACGAGUGGCGGACGGGUGAGUAAUGUCUGGGAAACUGCCCGAUGGAGGGGGAUAACUACUGGAAACGGUAGCUAAUACCGCAUACCAUCGGAUGUGCCCAGAUGGGAUUAGCUAGUAGGUGGGGUAACGGCUCCCCGAGGCGACGAUCCCUAGCUGGUCUGAGAGGAUGACCAGCAACACUGGAACUGAGACACGGCCCAGACUCCUACGGGAGGCAGCAGGGGGGAAGAUUGCACAAUGGGCGCAAGCCGGAUGCAGCCAUGCCGCGUGUAUGAAGAAGGCCUGUGGGUUGUAAAGUACUUUCAGCGGGGAGGCGUUACCCGCAGAAGAAGCACCGGCUAACUCCGUGCCAGCAGCCGCGGUAAUUC
RNAcentral lists this ribosomal RNA (406 nucleotides) under uncultured bacterium. RNAcentral describes it as "partial 16S ribosomal RNA". It matches the Rfam family "Bacterial small subunit ribosomal RNA", at positions 29 to 526 of the family's 1533-position model. The record is from RNAcentral.